GAUGAACGCUAGCGGCAGGCUUAACACAUGCAAGUCGAGGGGCAGCAUGAAGGUUAGCAAUAACCUUUGAUGGCGACCGGCGCAAGGGUGCGUAACGCGUGAGCAACUUGCCCGUUUCAGGGGGAUAACCGGUGGAAACGCCGACUAAUACCCCAUGGCAUCAUUGGGAGGCAUCUCCUUCUGAUUAAAGAAUUUCGGAAACGGAUAGGCUCGCGUGACAUUAGCUAGACGGCGGGGUAACGGCCCACCGUGGCGACGAUGUCUAGGGGUUCUGAGAGGAAGGUCCCCCACACUGGAACUGAGACACGGUCCAGACUCCUACGGGAGGCAGCAGUGGGGAAUAUUGGGCAAUGGACGCAAGUCUGACCCAGCAACGCCGCGUGAAGGAAGAAGGCUUUCGGGUUGUAAACUUCUUUUAAGAGGGAAGAGUAGAAGACGGUACCUCUUGAAUAAGCCACAGCUAACUACGUG
RNAcentral lists this ribosomal RNA (471 nucleotides) under uncultured bacterium. Its description in RNAcentral is "bacterial SSU rRNA". It matches the Rfam family "Bacterial small subunit ribosomal RNA", at positions 28 to 507 of the family's 1533-position model. The record is from RNAcentral.